AUAUACUACAAUGUAAUAAUUACAGAGUGCACAAUACAUGUAAUGUCCUUGAAAUAUUCCAAAACAGACCCCCUGCCCCCAGUCUGUGGAAAAACUGUCUUCCAUAAUAUUGGUCCCUGGUGCUGUAAAACCUGGGGACUGCUGCGCUUGAGCACUCACAGAAAGAAAUACGCAAAGCUCACGUCUUAGCAUAAGUCAUGUUCUAAGAUCCAGAGAGCUUCCAUGAUAGCCCAAACACAAUUCCGUAUUUCUUGUUUCCACAGGGUUGAUAUUAUUAAAAAUCAAACACAAACUUAAAUGUGUGGAUUGCUGAAUUACAAUGACAGUUGAAUUCACUGCAUCACCAAGGUUCUCAUGAGAACAUUGGGGCACUAAUAGGUGAAGAAUGGGAUUCUUUUUCCUUUUGAGACAGUCUCCCUCUGUUGCCCAGGCUGGAGCACGGAGGUGUGAUCUUGGCUCACUGCAGCCUCAGCCUCUGGGGUAGCUGAGAUAUGACCACAGCCUCAGCCGAGGUGUCUCACCCCAUUCUCUAUGAUGCGAGAAGAAGCCCACUGGGAGCAUUUCCGUCCCACUCUGUACUUCUACCAUUGUGCUCCUCACAGUCUGAAGCACUAAGCUGAAGAGUCCCUUGAGAACAAGUACUAUCCUGUGGUUUCAUAACCUUUCUUCCGUUUAUGGUUCUUGCCACGUUAAAUUUAAAUUAUAUCUUAUCAAGAUGGAUAAACCCAAGUUUUCCAGAGCUGGAAUAUAAAAAAUGGAUGGACCUAUAAGUCCUACUCACCCAUAGCCAACGCAUGGAGACCUCAACACACCUGGGCCCUAGACAUCACCUUUCAUUAUGAAGUUUCACUCGUUGCCUAGGCUGGACUGCAAAGGCACAAUCUCUGCUGACUGCAACCUCCUUCUCUUGGAUUCAAGCCAUCCUCUUGCCUCUGUCUGCAGAAUAGCUGGAAUUACAG
Molecule: non-coding RNA, 959 nt
Organism: Callithrix jacchus (white-tufted-ear marmoset)
Lineage: Eukaryota; Metazoa; Chordata; Mammalia; Primates; Cebidae
Source: RefSeq, a predicted model, not a curated record